This 72-nucleotide transfer RNA is filed under the name Ictidomys tridecemlineatus (thirteen-lined ground squirrel). Its description in RNAcentral is "Spermophilus tridecemlineatus (thirteen-lined ground squirrel) tRNA". It matches the Rfam family "tRNA". From Rfam's summary of the family: Transfer RNA (tRNA) molecules are approximately 80 nucleotides in length. Their secondary structure includes four short double-helical elements and three loops (D, anti-codon, and T loops). Lineage: Eukaryota; Metazoa; Chordata; Mammalia; Rodentia; Sciuridae. The record is from Rfam by way of RNAcentral.
GGGGAUGAAGCUCAAUGGUAGAGCACUUGCCUAGCAUGCUUGAAGCCCUAGGUUUGAUCCCCAGCACUGCUA